CCCAGCAGGCCCCGCCGCGGCACCGGCCCGCGCCCGCCGCCGACGCCACUUCCGCCCCGCCCGCCACGUCACCCGCCCGCCCGCCGGAACCGCGGGGGCGCUCCCGGAGCGCUACGGGAGCCCCGCGGGGCGGGCGGGGCGCGGGCAGCGCCGGUCGUACCGGAUGGGAUUGUAACUGAUAGUUGGUUUUGAUCCGUAAAGGAAUCGAAGGGUCUUUGGGAAGGGCGGGACUGCGUGCAAGCACCCUGCGGAGCACAAGUGCCUGAAAGGAGGCUCCGGCGGGGCGGGGGUCGCUCUGCUCCCGGGGAACCAGACAGGACAAGAGGCGAGGGGCCCUGGCUUGGACAGCAGGCGCAGUUUCUUCACGGACGGGCUGCUCAAAUACUGGAAGGGCUGCCAAGGAGGUGGUGAGGCACCUGGCCCUGGAGGCGUUUAAGAAAGUGGACAGGGUCAAGUUGACACGGGGAUGUCCAGGCCGAGGUCGGACUCGACGCUCUCAGAGCUUUUCCAAGCUCAUCCGUUCUGUGAUUCUGUGAAAUGCAGGGUCCCGUUCCCUGCACCCUCAGACAAGCAGCACUCGGAGCCGCGGGGCCCGGGCGGGCACUGAGGCGGCACAGCCACACCUGGACCUUGUUCAGGCUUGGCCAGGACGAAGCCCACAAACCUGCCUCCAAACUUGGACCCACCUCCAACUACAAGUCCGCAGUCAGAAAAACCAAACCAAACAAAGCCUUCAAUGCAAAAAGCUCAUGGUCUUUAACAUUGAUUCAUCAGACAACUUUAAAAUUAAGCACAGUAAAAAAUUUCAGAAGUUAUCUUAUACAUUCUUUAAAAAGGUGGGGGGGGGGCUAUAUUAUCUUCUCAAAUGAAUAGAACCAACAAACACACAGACAGACAACAAACGCCAUGAGCAGAAGGCAGGAACUCUUGUGCUGUUACAUGUCAUCCAUGCUUUGUAGAGAUGAUGCAGAAAACCAAUUUCCCUGUUACCAUCAUAGCUAUGCUAAAAGCUUUUCCUCUGGUGGUUUCACACAUUCCGUCUACCUUCCCUGAAUGUAUUUCACAAGAUAAAUUUAUCUGAAGCCUUUUCCACAGAUUCAGGAGACAGUGCAUGCACUGUUUUCAGUAGAAGUGAGGUCCCUGUACAGAUACUUGCCAAAACCCAUGCUUGCAUUACACACACACAUACAGACUAAAAAAAAAAUAAAACCUAGACAGUUUUGAUAACACAAUAUGUUUCUUUCUAGUCAUUGCAUCUCAGUCCAAAAUAGAGUCGCUUACCCUUGGGAGACAGAGAGAGGAGGCUUCAGCAUCUUCAGUUUAUUCAGUACUUAAGUCUCUCAGUCAGCACCAGGGCCAACCAGAGCCAUCUGCUGCAGCAGGGCUUGCAGGGCAUGCUGUACAAAGAACAAACACUCCCCAGGCCUGCCAGCUGGCCCCCGAGUGGUGGAUUGGUUGGUGCCCCUACAAUUGGCCAGGCCACUUGAGUUGUUACAAGCAAUUUUAUUAUCUGUUCAGUCCUUCCAUCAGAAACACUGUUCAUAUUUCCCCUUCCACUUUCAUUCCCAAGCAUAUUCUCAAGUAGCCAGCAAUCUGCAUGCACGCUGUUUUCUUCUCUGGUCUCUUCUGAUCUUCAGUUUCAGUGCAUUUCCCAUCCUGGGUGGAAGCAACACACACCACAUGCUCACCAGCACAAAAUACAGAUGCAGGGGCUGCAUGCAUUGAAAUGUAAGAGGCUGAAAGCAAUUAGAUGAAUCCAACCUAUGUGGAGCACACACACAUUGGUAGCUAAGCAGGUGCAUCACUGUUGGCCUGUAAGAGGCUUGAAAAAGAUGUGACUGCAUCCAAUUGUUUACCUGCAUCCAACAGUAAAGCCAUCUUAGCGCUGUUCCUUUUUUCCUCAAUAGGAUGAGUCUUGCAGUGAUUGUUGGUUACUGAGAUCCCUCACUAAUCCAGCAGCAGUGAGACAGGAAUGCCUGAAACUACAGCUGCAUCUUCAGUUUCCCUCCCUUAAGGAGUGCACAAGGGGCCUGAACAGAGUGCAGUUAUAGCAUAGCUCAGCUCCGCUUUUGGGAGAGGUCUCACCCAGAGCUCCACCAGCAUUUCUUCACUUAUCCUUGCUACUAUUUUCCUCAUUUCAGCACCAAAACCUCCUUGCCUCCAUCCAAUUUGAGCUAACAGAGCUGGAAACCUUGUUUCAUUCCAAGAGCACAGGAAGGCAGCUCUCACCUCACCUCCCCUGGCUACAGCGAACAAGAGCAAACUCACUGAGAGUCUAUAGUAGCAGUUACUGGAGACAGCACUGAGGUUUCUUUAAAAAAUAAAAUAAUCAAAAACAAUCAGAAAGGACACCUCUCUAUCUGGUGUGCUGUGUAUGCAGCACAACACUUGCAUCCCUCUGCCAUCAAAAGGAGAAAGUUUAUGAACUGCAUUUGGAGUCACCCAAAUCCUGUGAGUCUAACGCAUAGAUGACAUUUAGCAUAUGCCUAUAUCCCUGGAAGCAGCAGGGGCUUCUUCACCUUCAUUCAGUGCUGGUCAAGGCACGGUUGCUGCCACUUCUGCAGCUUCACACAUUGGCAUUGCCACCCUGUGAGAGUAAGGAACUGCAACUCUGUCACCUGCCCUCCUACAGAUGAAGGGGAGCUGACAUGAUCAGACAGAAGCUCUCCAUGUCCCACCUAUACCUGAGGGAUCACCUAGUACAGAUGUAUCUGUCUGUUUCUCAAGCCAUUCCCCCCUCUUUCAUCCCUGAAAGCCAAGUAUGUAAUGAUGUUUAAUUCCCUGCCCUGAAGGUUAUCUUGCAGAUUCCCAUCUGUGUCCCUCAUGGACAACCACAGCCUUGAACUGUCCCCCAAGAGAUGGGAUAUGCACAGAAUAUUUCAAGGUCUGGAAGAGAGCCAAACCAGGAAGUCUCCUUAAGUUUGUAAGACCCCAGGCAGAAAAAAGGCUGGACAUAGCUGCUGCAGAUUCACACUGGUAGAAAGGGACAGUAGAGCAAGCAGAGUCCAGCCCCCAGGCUGUCUGUUUCCACUGCAGCCAGCUAAAAUACAGCUGGUAUUUGUGAGGGGUGUGCACUGAUAACUGGAGACUCACUGCUAUUGCAGAGUAUGAAGUGAAAUGCAUUCAUAUUGCUGCAUAGUGACCACAUGUAAGAGACACAGAACACAGCACUGCCACCAAUUCCUUCUCGAAUUUGAGAGCUCAGUCAUGUGAUGCUGUAACACCAUAGCUGCA
This is a long non-coding RNA of Passer domesticus (house sparrow), 3234 nucleotides long. RefSeq lists it as uncharacterized. The record is from RefSeq and is a predicted model, not a curated record. Lineage: Eukaryota; Metazoa; Chordata; Aves; Passeriformes; Passeridae. The transcript is spliced from 2 exons.